UGCAUUCACUAGUGUAAGUCACUCUGGAUAAGAGCGUCUGCUAAAUGUAAGAUG
Salmo salar (Atlantic salmon) is the source of this 54-nucleotide non-coding RNA. The record is from Rfam. NCBI's taxonomy places the organism in Eukaryota, Metazoa, Chordata, Actinopteri, Salmoniformes, Salmonidae.